Molecule: small nucleolar RNA, 73 nt
Organism: Meleagris gallopavo (turkey)
Lineage: Eukaryota; Metazoa; Chordata; Aves; Galliformes; Phasianidae
Source: Ensembl
GAAAAAUGAAGAUAAUUUGAUUGCUUCUUAUUACAGUGAAGACUUCAGAUCCAACUCAGAUUUCACUCUAGUU